CGGGGGUCCUCUUUCUCCUGAUGG
RNAcentral lists this non-coding RNA (24 nucleotides) under Arabidopsis thaliana (thale cress). Lineage: Eukaryota; Viridiplantae; Streptophyta; Magnoliopsida; Brassicales; Brassicaceae. The record is from RNAcentral.